CAAAGCAAAAAUUGGAAAGAUACAGAGAUUAGUAUGGCCCCUGCACAAGGAUGACAUGCGAAUUCUUGAAGUGUUCUAUAUUUAA
Small nuclear RNA from Oryctolagus cuniculus (rabbit), 85 nucleotides. The record is from Ensembl. Lineage: Eukaryota; Metazoa; Chordata; Mammalia; Lagomorpha; Leporidae.